UAACAGCUCAAAUUUGAAAUCUGGCUCCCGCGGGAGUCCGAGUUGUAAUUUGUAGAAGAUGCUUUGGGUGCGUGGCCCGGCCUAAGUUCCUUGGAACAGGACGUCGUAGAGGGUGAGAAUCCCGUAUGCGGCCGGGGCGCCUGCCCGUGUAAAGCUCUUUCGACGAGUCGAGUUGUUUGGGAAUGCAGCUCAAAAUGGGUGGUAAAUUUCAUCUAAAGCUAAAUAUGGGCCAGAGACCGAUAGCGCACAAGUAGAGUGAUCGAAAGAUGAAAAGCACUUUGGAAAGAGAGUUAAACAGUACGUGAAAUUGUUGAAAGGGAAGCGCUUGCAACCAGACUUGGGCGUCGCUGAUCAUCCAAAGUUUUCUUUGGUGCACUCGGCGAGGCACAGGCCAGCAUCGGUUGGGGUGGUGGGAGAAAGGUCGUGGGAACGUAGCUCCUUUCGGGGAGUGUUAUAGCCUGCGGCGCAAUACCACCUACUCCGACCGAGGACCGCGCUUCGGCUAGGAUGCUGGCGUAAUGGUUGUAAGCGACCCGUCUUGAAACACGGACCAAGGAGUCUAACAUCUAUGCGAGUGUUUGGGUGCAAAACCCAUACGCGUAAUGAAAGUGAACGUAGGUGAGAACCCUUCGAGGGGGCAUCAU
RNAcentral lists this ribosomal RNA (644 nucleotides) under Phyllactinia lanuginosa. Its description in RNAcentral is "eukaryotic LSU rRNA". It matches the Rfam family "Eukaryotic large subunit ribosomal RNA", at positions 102 to 761 of the family's 3401-position model. The record is from RNAcentral. Lineage: Eukaryota; Fungi; Ascomycota; Leotiomycetes; Helotiales; Erysiphaceae.